CUUAAACUAUGUUACCGUUUCUCAACUGAUUCCAGUACGGUGAAAUAAAAUGUAAUUUGUCUUUCCAAAUGAUUCAUGGGAAGCAAGAAAUGUACUCUAACAAAUACAGUGAGCCUGAGCAUUGAUUCCUCCAUAUAGGCUAACUUGGACCACAGUGGCGUCGUAACGGACAAACGUACUGAAUGUGACAAACUGCGUUCAAAACACUAACGCACAAUGUGCACCAGUAAUCUAAAAUGAGAUUAUCGCUCAGGCAACACAACUGAGUUUUAUUUAAUGCACUGAUAAAUGUAAUAUCAGUGAUGUAUACAUUAGACACCACGGGUCGGGUCUUCAACGAUAUAAAAGCUUGAUGUUUUUGUUGAGAGGUCUAUUGCAAUUUCAAAUUUGCAACUGUGUGUGUGUGUCUGUGUGUGUGCGCGCGCGCGAGGGGGAGAUCUAGAGAGAGAGAGGGGGAGAGAUUUAACUCAUUAUAAUGCAUAGCGACCUGCCCUCUUUUGAAAAAAAAGAGAAAAACGCAGCCAUGCUUUGCAGGGGCUCCAGCCCCUACUCACUGCAAGAUAGGGCAAGUUGCUUAGCGGAGGCAUCCAACUACACAUCGACAGAGAAACCCGGGAAUACAAUUAAGUAUCUUUAAAUCGCGAAAAGCGCAAUAUAAUACGAAGACAGCUACGCGAAAAUGAAUGGAUAUGAAUGCAUGGAAAACCAACGACCGCCUGCUAAGGAAGUGGAGCGAGCGAACGCGUGGUUGAGUACGUACGGACGUGGUUGAAGCCCCUGACGCAUUUUUGACAGAGCUGAGGUCCUUUCAAGCAGUUGUCCCCUUGUCCCUCUUUGUCUCAGACUGGCUGAAUUUGAAACCAGCUCCAAAAAAUAACGAAGGCCUUAUCCCUUUGCUGUCAACGUUGCAUGUCCAUAUUUCAUCAUACGGCGGUUAAGUAAUCCUUUUGAGCAUUCGCUUCGCUUUAUUGCAGAUCCGUGCUGUGCUUAAACACUUAACAGGAUGGUUUCAAUAGCACAGGACAUCGCCGAGAUGGGUUUUGAAAAACAAUCAUUUAAUAGGAAAUACGCCGUAGUAGAGUCAUACGCGCCGGGACACUAAAACCAGAGGCUGGGGAAUGACUGGAUAAACGAAGGAUUUAAUGAUAAUACAGAUGCUUUUGGUUGCUUACAACGAUGGAGAGGGUUUGUGGUAUGUUUUAGACAGGCUCUGCGUGAUUUGAGACUCUGGCUCUCCGUGUUCACAGCGGACCUUGAUUUAAUGUCUUACAAUUAAGGCACGCGGUGAAUGCCAAGAGCGGAGCCUUCCACCAUCAGCAGGCCAAAAAAUACUGCAGGGUUGAAAAAUUCUUCCUGAUAAUUUGAUUAAAUUGUUUUUCCCCCUAAUAAAGCUAGUUCCGAUAGUUCUGGUCUGUGUUUUGGAUAUUGUGCUAAGCAAUUGUGAAAGUAUAUGUGUACUGCAAUCUGGAAAACCAUAAAAAGGAAACAAUGCGAUACACUGCAGAGGUCUUGAAGGUGAAGCGCUGUCCACCACAUGUGGUGCUGAAUUUCUCUUUGUAGAUCUCUUACUGCAUCACGGGGAACAGGUUAAGUAAAUAACCGAAAACUAACCAUUUGCACACGUGCAAGCGAGUGUGUUUGAGCGGCAAAUGAAAGCUGGUAUUUCUAAAAUCAUAAAACACAGCAUGAAGGAAAUACAUUGUAUUUUAGCAACAAUUAGAGAUCACAAUAUUGUUGUUUUCUGUAUCUGAAACGAUAUAAAACAAACCUAUAAGUCAGCCAAACAUGCACUCACCCAACUGUUUACGUUGUUCUGUAUUUUACACCACAAAUUAUAUAGAAAACCCUGGAUGGAUACACACCGUCGCCUGAGAAUCAUAGAGAGACUGACAUUAAUGGCAAAAUUUCAACAAAUGUAUCUGCUCUGUUGAAAG
This is a long non-coding RNA of Cyprinus carpio carpio, 1934 nucleotides long. NCBI's taxonomy places the organism in Eukaryota, Metazoa, Chordata, Actinopteri, Cypriniformes, Cyprinidae. The record is from Ensembl.